Molecule: ribosomal RNA, 253 nt
Filed under: uncultured bacterium
Lineage: Bacteria
Description: partial 16S ribosomal RNA
Rfam family: Bacterial small subunit ribosomal RNA
Source: RNAcentral
UACGAAGGGGGCUAGCGUUGCUCGGAAUCACUGGGCGGAAAGCGCACGUAGGCGGCUUUUUAAGUCAGGGGUGAAAUCCUGGAGCUCAACUCCAGAACUGCCUUUGAUACUGAGAAGCUUGAGUCCGGGAGAGGUGAGUGGAACUGCGAGUGUAGAGGUGAAAUUCGUAGAUAUUCGCAAGAACACCAGUGGCGAAGGCGGCUCACUGGCCCGAUACUGACGCUGAGGUGCGAAAGCGUGGGGAGCAAACAGG